GCACAAGCGGUGGAGUAUGUGGUUAAUUCGAUGCAACGCGAAGAACUUACCUGGUCUUGACAUCCCGGAGACCCUUAGGAAACUAGGGGUGCUCCAUCUGGAGAAUCUGGAGACAGGUGCUGCAUGGCUGUCGUCAGCUCGUGUCGUGAGAUGUUGGGUUAAGUCCCGCAACGAGCGCAACCCUUGCCUUAGUUGCCAGCAGUUCGGCUGGCACUCUAAAGGGACUGCCGGUGUUAAACCGGAGGAAGGUGGGGAUGACGUCAAGUCCUCAUGGCCUUUAUGACCAGGGCUACACACGUACUACAAUGGCCGAUACAAAGGGCAGCGACACUGCGAGGUGAAGCCAAUCCCGUAAAAUCGGUCUCAGUCCGGAUUGGAGUCUGCAACUCGACUCCAUGAAGUUGGAAUCGCUAGUAAUCGUGGAUCAGCAUGCCACGGUGAAUACGUUCCCGGGCCUU
Molecule: ribosomal RNA, 458 nt
Filed under: uncultured Desulfobulbus sp.
Lineage: Bacteria; Pseudomonadati; Thermodesulfobacteriota; Desulfobulbia; Desulfobulbales; Desulfobulbaceae
Description: bacterial SSU rRNA
Rfam family: Bacterial small subunit ribosomal RNA
Source: RNAcentral